RNAcentral lists this ribosomal RNA (261 nucleotides) under uncultured bacterium. RNAcentral's name for it is "partial 16S ribosomal RNA". It matches the Rfam family "Bacterial small subunit ribosomal RNA", at positions 793 to 1055 of the family's 1533-position model. The record is from RNAcentral.
GUCCACGCCGUAAACGAUGAAUGCUAGCCGUUGGGCAGCUUGCUGUUCAGUGGCGCAGCUAACGCAUUAAGCAUUCCGCCUGGGGAGUACGGCCGCAAGGUUGAAACUCAAAGGAAUUGACGGGGCCCGCACAAGCGGUGGAGCAUGUGGUUUAAUUCGACGCAACGCGCAGAACCUUACCAGGGUUUGACAUCCUGCGACCGCUCCCUAAUAGGAGUUUUCCCGCAAGGGACGCAGAGACAGGUGCUGCAUGGCUGUCGU